GGAAACGGUAGCUAAUACCGCAUAACGUCGCAAGACCAAAGAGGGGGACCUUCGGGCCUCUUGCCAUCAGAUGUGCCCAGAUGGGAUUAGCUAGUAGGUGGGGUAACGGCUCACCUAGGCGACGAUCCCUAGCUGGUCUGAGAGGAUGACCAGCCACACUGGAACUGAGACACGGUCCAGACUCCUACGGGAGGCAGCAGUGGGGAAUAUUGCACAAUGGGCGCAAGCCUGAUGCAGCCAUGCCGCGUGUAUGAAGAAGGCCUUCGGGUUGUAAAGUACUUUCAGCGGGGAGGAAGGUGAUGAGGUUAAUAACCUCGUCAAUUGACGUUACCCGCAGAAGAAGCACCGGCUAACUCCGUGCCAGCAGCCGCGGUAAUACGGAGGGUGCAAGCGUUAAUCGGAAUUACUGGGCGUAAAGCGCACGCAGGCGGUCUGUCAAGUCGGAUGUGAAAUCCCCGGGCUCAACCUGGGAACUGCAU
This 479-nucleotide ribosomal RNA is filed under the name uncultured bacterium. RNAcentral's name for it is "bacterial SSU rRNA". It matches the Rfam family "Bacterial small subunit ribosomal RNA", at positions 152 to 626 of the family's 1533-position model. The record is from RNAcentral.